UAGGGAAUCUUCGGCAAUGGACGAAAGUCUGACCGAGCAACGCCGCGUGAGUGAAGAAGGUUUUCGGAUCGUAAAACUCUGUUGUUAGAGAAGAACAAGGACGUUAGUAACUGAACGUCCCCUGACGGUAUCUAACCAGAAAGCCACGGCUAACUACGUGCCAGCAGCCGCGGUAAUACGUAGGUGGCAAGCGUUGUCCGGAUUUAUUGGGCGUAAAGCGAGCGCAGGCGGUUUCUUAAGUCUGAUGUGAAAGCCCCCGGCUCAACCGGGGAGGGUCAUUGGAAACUGGGAGACUUGAGUGCAGAAGAGGAGAGUGGAAUUCCAUGUGGAGCGGUGAAAAGCGUAGAUAUAUGGGGGAACACCAGUGGCGAAGGCGGCUCUCUGGACUGUAACUGAAGCUGAGGCUCGAAAGCGUGGGGAGCAAACAGG
Molecule: ribosomal RNA, 429 nt
Filed under: Gemmatimonadota bacterium
Lineage: Bacteria; Pseudomonadati; Gemmatimonadota
Description: Gemmatimonadetes bacterium partial 16S ribosomal RNA
Rfam family: Bacterial small subunit ribosomal RNA
Source: RNAcentral